RNAcentral lists this ribosomal RNA (464 nucleotides) under Lygodactylus insularis. RNAcentral's name for it is "partial large subunit ribosomal RNA". It matches the Rfam family "Bacterial large subunit ribosomal RNA", at positions 1938 to 2597 of the family's 2925-position model. The record is from RNAcentral. Lineage: Eukaryota; Metazoa; Chordata; Lepidosauria; Squamata; Gekkonidae.
UACCCUAACCGUGCAAAGGUAGCACAAUCACUUGCCCCUUAAAUGAGGGCUGGUAUGAACGGUUUAAUGAGGGUUUAACUGUCUUCGAGGACCAAUCAAUGAACCUGAUAACCCAGUACAAACGCUGAAAUACACCCAUAAGACAAGAAGACCCUGUGGAACUUUAAGUCUACCGCUGACCCUAGUUUUAAGCUAGGCCCCCAGCACAAAACUUAAGUUGGGGCAACUGCGGGGCAAAACAAAACCCCCAUGAAAAUAAUUAACCAUUAUACACUAGGCCCACACGCCGCACACUGUUCGACCCAGUCCACACUGAUCACCGAACCAAGCUACCCCAGGGAUAACAGCGCUAUCCCCUUAAAGAGUCCAUAUCGCCAGGGGGGUUUACGACCUCGAUGUUGGAUCAGGACACCCAGGCGGUGUAGCCGCUGCCAAAGGUUCGUUUGUUCAACGAAUAAAGUCCU